Molecule: long non-coding RNA, 551 nt
Filed under: Numida meleagris (helmeted guineafowl)
Lineage: Eukaryota; Metazoa; Chordata; Aves; Galliformes; Numididae
Description: lncRNA (ENSNMEG00000002506.1)
Source: RNAcentral
AGACGCCCGUGUACAGCUGCCAGGGGCGGGCCCGGGACUCCGGCGGGGGCGGCCUCACAGUGUGCCGCCGGGCGGCUACAGGUGUGGCCCUGAAGAGGAAGCCGAGAGGAAGGAAGUGCGGAAAAUGAGGGGUGCAGUGAAGCCUGUUGUUGUGCACCAUUCACAGGUUCUGGUGAAGAUCCCUGCUAGAUGAUGUCCAUAGACAUCAAGCAAUGGGUUACCCAGUUGGCUGUAUACUGUCACACUCCUUCAAAACUCCAAAGACAAAAACUUUUGCUUGAGUCAUGCAUGUCAGAGAGAACUACAGUUCCAGACACUCCAUCAAGACCUCAGACAAAUGGCCCGGUGAUAGAAUUGUUUAAGUACACAAAUUAACAAUCACCCAUUACCAAAGUUGACAUCUUUGUAUUUGGAUGCUGUUAUCUGGUGAAGACCAUACUACAUCCUCUUGCAUUUCUCGACUGCUUUGCUCCUUUUGGUGCAGACUGAUGGUCCUCUACCUUGAAGUCUAACAAAAUAAAGAGCAAACAUUUGUUGUUUUGAGGUUGUGC